This 433-nucleotide ribosomal RNA is filed under the name uncultured bacterium. RNAcentral describes it as "partial 16S ribosomal RNA". It matches the Rfam family "Bacterial small subunit ribosomal RNA", at positions 29 to 507 of the family's 1533-position model. The record is from RNAcentral.
AACGAACGCUGGCGGCAUGCCUAACACAUGCAAGUCGAACGAGACCUUCGGGUCUAGUGGCGCACGGGUGCGUAACGCGUGGGAACCUGCCCUUAGGUUCGGAAUAACUCCCCGAAAGGGGUGCUAAUACCGGAUAAUGUCUUCGGACCAAAGAUUUAUCGCCUUUGGAUGGGCCCGCGUUGUAUUAGCUAGUUGGUAGGGUAAAAGCCUACCAAGGCGACGAGACAUAGCUGGUCUGAGAGGAUGAUCAGCCACACUGGGACUGAGACACGGCCCAGAAUCCUACGGGAGGCAGCAGUGGGGAAUAUUGGACAAUGGGCGAAAGCCUGAUCCAGCAAUGCCGCGUGAGUGAUGAAGGCCUUAGGGUUGUAAAGCUCUUUUACCCGGGAUGAUAAUGACAGUACCGGGAGAAUAAGCUCCGGCUAACUCCGUG